GAGGUUGUGGCUCAGCGGUACAGCGCUCCCCCAGCACGGGCGAGGCCCUGGGUUCGAUCCUCAGCACCACA
This 71-nucleotide transfer RNA is filed under the name Marmota monax (woodchuck). RNAcentral's name for it is "tRNA.Ala". Lineage: Eukaryota; Metazoa; Chordata; Mammalia; Rodentia; Sciuridae. The record is from RNAcentral.